GGCUACAGUGUCUGAAAGAUUGAAAACAUUGAUCAGAGAGAUACGAGUGCAGUAUACAGAAGAGACUCCAUGCAAUCCAGACGGAACUGCAAAAGAUAUAGGUCCAGUUGACACAGAUUCUGCUUUAUGUAGAUUCUUCAUGGCAGGGUCGUGUAAUAAAGGGACCCAAUGUGGUUUCUCUCACUCACUCCAGGCCAAGAUACCUGUGUGCAAAUAUUUCCUUACAUUUGAGGGGUGUCGGUUUGGAGACAAAUGCUUCUAUUCUCACGACUACGGGCCAACCGCUGCAUCAAUAAUUUCACGAACUGCAUGCUUGCAAGAAGAAGGAAAUGCUUCAGCUUAUUUAUUUCUAGGAUUCUUGCAAGUUGAUGGCUACAUUCUCAUAAUGAACGAUAAGGAUCUCAAUUUUUCUACCAGCCUGGCAUGCUAUUUUGAUCCAACAAAGAUGUUUGUCUCCAGCAGUCAUCCAUAUUCACCCGACAUUGAAGCUUCAUUACCCGGUGUUACUCUGUUAUGGGAUGUGAGCCACCCACGCCACCUAUUCAUUGAGAAUAGAGUACCGCCCGUUCCAUGGGGUGAAAUAAGUUGUGUGUUAUUAUUCGUUGACACUUGGGCCGAUGAUGCAAGAGUGCUGCAGCGUAUGAUGCAGAAUUUCUUCGAGCUCCUUGCCAUCCGUGUUUUGGCUGAUACCUUGUACCGCUUGCAGGUGAUCUUAACCAUGAACAACAAUAGAUUCGCACAGCUACAGGUAGAAAAAUUGGCACGCGAAGCGUUUUUCUAUCUAACACAUUCUUUUCCGUAUGAUGAGUCGGCUCUCGGGAAGUUCACAGACCCCAGCAAGAUCAAGCGACCAAUGCAAGUCUCAGCUCCGUUUUCGUAUGUGUUCGAUAUGCGUCCCCCAAUCGACUCGCAAUUUGGCGACUACAC
Molecule: unclassified non-coding RNA, 927 nt
Filed under: Hevea brasiliensis (rubber tree)
Lineage: Eukaryota; Viridiplantae; Streptophyta; Magnoliopsida; Malpighiales; Euphorbiaceae
Source: RNAcentral